Molecule: long non-coding RNA, 1069 nt
Filed under: Ficedula albicollis (Collared flycatcher)
Lineage: Eukaryota; Metazoa; Chordata; Aves; Passeriformes; Muscicapidae
Description: lncRNA (ENSFALG00000028239.1)
Source: RNAcentral
CCGUAUUCCAGCGGGCGCAAUCAUAUCUCUUUUCAAGCUGUUCAGGAAAGAAAAAUCUGAAUUAUUUAACCCUUGGGACACUGGCUGGUCUCGCAGGGUGUAGAGAGACAAAUCUGCUUUGUUCCCGUGCUGGGUCGUUGCCCGAGUUUGGGAAUUUUGGGAGGAUGCUGCUGCAGCUCAGGGGGGAAACUGAGGCACUGGCUGUGUUUGGAGGACCAGGAUCAGGGUUUGGCUGUGGGAUUUGCUCUCCUGGUUGGCUCUGCCCUGCAGGGACCAGGGGUUUCCAUCUGCAGGUGCCUCUCCUCUCAGAAGGGUUUUUCCCCUCCACAGUGAAUAUCCAAGAGGUAAAAACUUGGGAAGCCAAUGUGUUUCCAGCAUGGAGAUGCCACCCUGCCCGCUGUGGUGUGGGCACACAGGGGUUGGGUAAUGCCAAAGGGGCUUCACCAGCUCAGAGAUGUCAAUUCCAGAGAAUCUCCCUCUGAUGGAUUCUUGCUCCUGUUGUGGAAAGGUGCCACAGUGCUGGGAAGUUGUGGAUUAACCCCAAACCUGGUGGAGCCAGGCUCGGUGGGUGACACGUCCUGUGCUGGGCCCCACAGUGCUGGAGGGUGGGAGCAUGGAGCUCCAGAGCUGGGGGGUCCAUGGAGUGUGUGCUGCCAGGCUGUGGGUUGUCCUGGGGUACAUCCCUGGUGGUGGCAUCAUCCCUAUCCCGUGGCAUCAUCCUUAUCCCAAUGGCUUCAUCCCUGUCCCAUGGCAUCAUCCCCAUCCCGUGGCAUCAUCCCAAUCCCCUGCCACCAUCCCUGUCCCCAUGGCAUCAUCCCAAUCCCAUGGCAUCAUCCCCAUCCCUCCCCAACCCAUGGCAUCAGCCCCAUCCUGUGACAUCAAUUCCCAUCCCCUGGCAUCAUCCCUGUCCCAUGGUAUCAUCCCUGUCCCAUGGCAUCACCCUCAUCCCCUGGCAUCAUCCCCAUCCCAAUGGCAUCAUCCCCAUCCCAUGGCAUCAUCCCCAUCCCAUGGCAUCAUCCCAAUCCCUCCCCAUCCCCUGGCAUCACCCUCAUCCCCUGGCAUCACCCUC